GACGAACGCUGGCGGCGUGCCUAAUACAUGCAAGUCGAACGCUGAAGGAGGAGCUUGCUUCUCUGGAUGAGUUGCGAACGGGUGAGUAACGCGUAGGUAACCUGCCUGGUAGCGGGGGAUAACUAUUGGAAACGAUAGCUAAUACCGCAUAAUAGUAGAUGUUGCAUGACAUUUGCUUAAAAGGUGCAAUUGCAUCACUACCAGAUGGACCUGCGUUGUAUUAGCUAGUUGGUGGGGUAACGGCUCACCAAGGCGACGAUACAUAGCCGACCUGAGAGGGUGAGCGGCCACACUGGGACUGAGACACGGCCCAGACGCCUACGGGAGGCAGCAGUAGGGAAUCUUCGGCAAUGGACGGAAGUCUGACCGAGCAACGCCGCGUGAGGGAAGAAGGGUUUCGGAUCGUAAAGCUCGGUUGUAAGAGAAGAACGAGUGUGAGAGUGGAAAGUUCACACUGUGACGGUAGCUUACCAGAAAGGGACGGCUAACUACGUG
This 495-nucleotide ribosomal RNA is filed under the name uncultured bacterium. Its description in RNAcentral is "partial 16S ribosomal RNA". It matches the Rfam family "Bacterial small subunit ribosomal RNA", at positions 28 to 507 of the family's 1533-position model. The record is from RNAcentral.